RNAcentral lists this ribosomal RNA (529 nucleotides) under uncultured bacterium. RNAcentral's name for it is "partial 16S ribosomal RNA". It matches the Rfam family "Bacterial small subunit ribosomal RNA", at positions 355 to 873 of the family's 1533-position model. The record is from RNAcentral.
UGGGGAAUAUUGCACAAUGGGCGCAAGCCUGAUGCAGCCAUGCCGCGUGUGUGAAGAAGGCCUUCGGGUUGUAAAGCACUCUCAGCGAGGAGGAAGGUGGUGGACUUAAUACGUUCAUCAAUUGACGUUACUCGCAGAAGAAGCACCGGCUAACUCCGUGCCAGCAGCCGCGGUAAUACGGAGGGUGCAAGCGUUAAUCGGAAUUACUGGGCGUAAAGCGCACGCAGGCGGUUUGUUAAGUCAGAUGUGAAAUCCCCGGGCUCAACCUGGGAACUGCAUUUGAAACUGGCAAGCUAGAGUCUCGUAGAGGGGGGUAGAAUUCCAGGUGUAGCGGUGAAAUGCGUAGAGAUCUGGAGGAAUACCGGUGGCGAAGGCGGCCCCCCUGGACGAAGACUGACGCUCAGGUGCGAAAGCGUGGGGCAGCAAACAGGAUUAGAUACCCUGGUAGUCCAGCGCUGUAAACGAUGUCGAUUUGGAGGUUGUGCCCUUGAGGCGUGGCUUCCGGAGCUAACGCGUUAAAUCGACCGCC